GAACCAGGAAGCCGGUGCGAAUCCGGCACGGUCCCGCCACUGUGACCGGGCCCCCUCCCGUACGGACUCCGAAUCCGUGCCGGAGGGCGGCCCGGAAGCCAGGAACUG
Molecule: non-coding RNA, 108 nt
Organism: Streptomyces sp. HCCB10043
Lineage: Bacteria; Bacillati; Actinomycetota; Actinomycetes; Kitasatosporales; Streptomycetaceae
Source: Rfam